RNAcentral lists this ribosomal RNA (157 nucleotides) under uncultured euryarchaeote. RNAcentral describes it as "partial 16S ribosomal RNA". It matches the Rfam family "Archaeal small subunit ribosomal RNA", at positions 318 to 477 of the family's 1478-position model. The record is from RNAcentral. Lineage: Archaea; Methanobacteriati; Methanobacteriota.
AUUCCCUACGGGGUGCACCAGGCGCGAAAACUUUACAAUGCACGAAAGUGUGAUAAGGGAAUCCUUAGUGCUUAUGCAUAGCAUAGGCUUUUGUCAAGUGUAAAUAACUUGGCGAAUAAGUGGUGGGUAAGACCGGUGCAGCAGCCGCGGUAAAAUC